Molecule: unclassified non-coding RNA, 1102 nt
Filed under: Zea mays
Lineage: Eukaryota; Viridiplantae; Streptophyta; Magnoliopsida; Poales; Poaceae
Description: misc RNA Zm00001eb093310
Source: RNAcentral
GCUUCUCCCUUGCGUGGUGCUUCUGCUCCAGCUUCUGUGCGCGCGCGUCCAUCUCCUCUGCUCCUCCGGCGCGCGCUCUGCUUCUUCCUCCUCCCGGCCGCGCGUAGCUCCCAGCCGAGCUCAUCUCUCAGCUAUGGCGCGUCCCCUGUUUCUCCUUGGUCUGCGCGCGGUGCUCGCAUGGCGCAUCCUUCUGCGCCCGGCCAAGGUUCACUGCCCGUCGCGGCUUCUUCCUUCCCUGCCGAUCCCAACUCCCUGCGCACGCACCGCAGUCGAGCUCCUCCCCGAACUCCGCUCGUCCCAUGGUGCUCGGACCGCGCAGCUCUCGGGCGCUCUCCCAUGACGGCGCGCCCAUCCCCCUGCUCUCCUCCAUGGCCGCCGCGCCGAGCACAUCUCCUCGCCAGCGCUCCUCCCUCCCUUUCCCUCCAGCCCUUCUGCUCAGCCGUCGAGUUUCCCUAGCGCGCGGAUUUCUCCUCCUCUGCCGCGCCUUCUGGCCCGGAUUUCUGUGGCCAGCCGCGAGCUCCUCCCGGCAGUACCUCGCCGGAUCUCCCAGCCGAGCCGUUUUUCUUCAUCUUCCUGUGCGUCGUGGAGCUCGGAUCGCGCCCUGUCUCCUAUGGCGUCUGGCAGUCGCUUCUCUCUGCACGCCGCGUUUUUAUUUAUUCCCCAAGUUUCCAGUCAUAGCGUACUCUCCCUGCUCGCCUGGCCGGAGCGCCCUGCGCUCUGCUCGCCCAUGGAGUUUGCCGAGCUCCAUUUUUGCUCGGUCAUGCCCCUACCGAGUCUCCCAUGGCCGCGCCCUGGGAUUUGCCGGAGUCUGCUUCCCUAGGCGCGCGCUGCUUUUUUUUCCCAUGGCACGACUGCCCUGCUCUGCUUGACGGACGCGUAGUUGCCCAGCUUGCGGAGCUUCCUUGCCGUGGCCGUCGCGUGCCUGCGCGCAGCUCGGCGCCUGCUGCUCGCCCCUACUGCGCGUGUCGAACUCUUCUAGGGCGCGCGCGAAGUUCUCUGCUCGCCAUAGCGUGUCAAGUUUCCGCGUCGAGCUCCCGCGUUGAAUCGAGCCCCAUGUUAUCGUAUCCCUGUUUCAGUUUGUUGUGUCAUGCCAUCAUCGCCU